Molecule: long non-coding RNA, 2670 nt
Organism: Homo sapiens (human)
Lineage: Eukaryota; Metazoa; Chordata; Mammalia; Primates; Hominidae
Exons: 6
Source: RefSeq, a predicted model, not a curated record
GGCGCCAAUCCUAGAUUCGAUAGGGUAAGUUCUGUGGUCUCCAGGGCAGAAGAAAUCUGUGGAUAGGCCGAAGGUAAAGCCAAUGACAGUGGGAGGGGGGAAUUUAGAGAAGUAGGUGAGGUAUUUGAUUGACAGCGGUAUUGGCCAGUAUGCUGGGGGUCGUGCUCUGGGGGAUGUAAUUGGCGCUACCUGUUGAAGGACUCAAGUGUGAAUCAAUAGAAUGCCUGCAAGCGUGCGAAUUUGGACGCCUGGAGUCUGAGGAUGCGGGAAGCGUUGCUUACCUUAGGUAUGGCUCUGGACAGUAUGGUGAACUGAGCAAGUGUUUUGCACCUUUUCACUUCUGCGAGCCUCUUCCCGGUCUUCAGGAGCAUCUAUCUGGCUCCCAUCACUCUCCUGCUACCUGCACUCAACUUGUAUCUGUGAUUAACCCCUGCUGUUACCAAUAAUGGCUUAAUGGUUCGUAUCUGCCAAGGAGAAUUGUAUUUCAACAGUUUCAGAAUAUAUAGCCUUCUAGAGCCUAAGGAAUUGAUUGCUUACCUUGCUCUCUACCCUUGGGAGACAGAUCUCUUUCCUUAAACUUGUACAUAUCUGAGCAGAAAAGAAGCCUGUCUCUUAAAAGGAUUGGACAGAAACAUUUUCGCUAGAGUCUCGUUCUUUGGACGUGAUCCAAUCACUACUUCUCUACCUAUGAGACUGUUGAUCAUCUCUUUCUCAGAUGAGUUCUGCCAUUAAACUGAAUAUCCAAAUGUGCAUAAAUCCUGAAUCCUAGGCUAUUCUGGCCAAUCAGCAAGAGAAAGAUUUGAGAUUUAAGAAAUUUGCAGCAACAAGAAUUGACUGAUGGCAACUACUAUUUCUUAAUAAGAGUAUUUUACUUAUGUUCUCUGGUUCUUGAGAUUCAAAAUGUAUUUUGAGAAGCAGCAACAGGAGAACAUCUGGAGAGAGAAGGAGAUUCUCUCUUAGAAGGGAAAUCAAAGAGGAAACAAACAAAUGGAAGAACAUUCCAUGCUCAUGGAUAGGAAGAAUCAAUAUUGUGAAAAUGGCCAUACUGCCCAAGGUAAUUUAUAGAUUAAAUGCCGUCCCCAUCAAGCUACCAAUGACUUUCUUCACAAAAUUGGAAAAAACUACUUUAAAGUUGAUAUGGAACCAAAAAAGAGCCUGCACUGCCAAGACGAUCCUAAGGCAAGAGAACAAUGCUGGAGGCAUCAUGCUACCUGACUUCAAACUAUACUACAAGGCUACAGUAACCAAAACAGCAUGGUACUGGUACCAAAACAGAGAUAUAAACCAAUGGAACAGAACAGAGGCCUCAGAAAUAACACCACACAUCUACAACUAUCUGAUCUUUGACAAACCUGACAAAAACAAGAAAUGGGGAAAGGAUUCCCUAUUUAAUAAAUGGUGCUGGGAAAACUGGCUAGCCAUCUGUAGAAAGCUGAAACUGGAUCCCUUCCUUACACCUUAUACAAAAAUUAAUUCAAGAUGGAUUAAAGACUUAAAUGUUAGACCUAAAACCAUAAAAACCCUAGAAGAAAACCUAGGCAAUACCAUUCAGGACAUAGGCAUGGACAAGAACUUCAUGACUAAAACACCAAAAGCAAUGGCAACAAAAGCCAAAAUUGACAAAUGGGAUCUAAUUAAACUAAAGAGCUUCUGCACAGCAAAAGAAACUAUCAUCAGAGUGAACAGGCAACCUACAGAAUGGGAGAGAAUUUUUACAAUCUACCCAUCUGACAAAGGGCUAAUAUCCAGAAUCUACAAAGAGCUUAAACAAAUUUACAAGAAAAAAAUCAAACAACCCCAUCAAAAAGUGGGCAAAGGAUAUGAACAGACACUUCUCAAAAGAAGACAUUUAUGUAGCCAACAGACACAUGAAAAAAUGCUCAUCAUCACUGGCCAUCAGAGAAAUGCAAAUCAAAACCACAAUGAGGUACCAUCUCACACCAGUUAGAAUGGCAAUCAUUUAAAAGUCGGGAAACAACAGGUGCUGGAGAGGAUGUGGAGAAAUAGGAACACUUUUACACUGUUGGUGGGACUGUAAACUAGUUCAACCAUUGUGGAAGUCAGUGUGGUGAUUCCUCAGGGAUCUAGAACUAGAAAUACCAUUUGACCCAGCCAUCCCAUUACUGGUUAUAUACCCAAAGUAUAAUAAAACAUGCUGCUAUAAAGACACAUGCACACGUAUGUUUAUGGUGGCACUAUUCACAAUAGCAAAGACUUGGAACCAACUAUGAUAGACUGGAUUAAGAAAAUGUGGCACAUAUACACCAUGGAAUACUAUGCAGCCAUAAAAAAUGAUGAGUUCAUGUCCUUUGUAGGGACAUGGAUGAAGUUGGAAACCAUCAUUCUGAGCAAACUAUCGCAAGGACAGAAAACCAAACACCACAUGGUCUCACUCAUAGGUGGGAAUUGAACAAUGAGAACACUUGGACACAGGGUGGGGAACAUCACACACCGGGGCCUGUCGUGGGUUAGGGGUAGGGGGAGGGAUAGCAUUAGGAGAUAUACCUAAUGUAAAUGACGAGUUAAUGGGUGUAGCACACCAACAUGGCACAUGUAUACACAUGUAACAAAGCUGCAUGUUGUGCACAUGUACCCUAGAACUUAAAGUAUAAUUUUAAAAAAAAAGAAGGGGAAUAAAAAACAAAAAUAAAAGAAUACAUUUUUCUGACA